This 85-nucleotide transfer RNA is filed under the name Erwinia phage Hena1. Its description in RNAcentral is "tRNA-Leu". It matches the Rfam family "tRNA". Rfam says of the family: Transfer RNA (tRNA) molecules are approximately 80 nucleotides in length. Lineage: Duplodnaviria; Heunggongvirae; Uroviricota; Caudoviricetes. The record is from RNAcentral.
GGGCAAGUGGCGAAAUUGGUAGACGCACCAGAUUUAGGUUCUGGCGCAGAAAUGUGUGAGAGUUCGAGUCUCUCCUUGCCCACCA